Molecule: non-coding RNA, 146 nt
Filed under: uncultured Roseburia sp.
Lineage: Bacteria; Bacillati; Bacillota; Clostridia; Lachnospirales; Lachnospiraceae
Source: RNAcentral
GGUAACGGUAUGGAUGGAGGAAGUGGUGUAGCAAAGUUCUUGAGCCUACGAACAGAAACUUGAUAAGGCGAUUAGGUGGGUAAGAUUGCAAAUCAAAUCGAAGCCCAAAUGGUAAACGUAAACCGAAAUUGUAAAUCAAUGAAAAA